Molecule: ribosomal RNA, 253 nt
Filed under: uncultured bacterium
Lineage: Bacteria
Description: partial 16S ribosomal RNA
Rfam family: Bacterial small subunit ribosomal RNA
Source: RNAcentral
UACGAAGGGGGCUAGCGUUGCUCGGAAUCACUGGGCGUAAAGGGUGCGUAGGCGGGUCUUUAAGUCAGGGGUGAAAUCCUGGAGCUCAACUCCAGAACUGCCUUUGAUACUGGCGAUCUCGAGUCCGGAAGAGGUGAGUGGAACUCCUAGUGUAGAGGUGGAAUUCGUAGAUAUUAGGAAGAACACCAGUGGCGAAGGCGGCUCACUGGUCCGGUACUGACGCUGAGGUGCGAAAGCGUGGGGAGCAAACAGG